ACGCACGCUGGCGGCGUGCUUCACACAUGCAAGUCGAACGGUGAAGGGAUCAGCUUGCUGGUUCUGGAUGAGUGGCGAACGGGUGAGUAACACGUGAGUAACCUGCCCCCUUCUUCUGGAUAACCGCAUGAAAGUGUGGCUAAUACGGGAUAUUCUGGGUCUGUCGCAUGAUGGGUCUGGGAAAGAUAUUGUUUCGGUGGGGGAUGGGCUCGCGGCCUAUCAGCUUGUUGGUGGGGUGAUGGCCUACCAAGGCGGUGACGGGUAGCCGGCCUGAGAGGGUGGACGGUCACACUGGGACUGAGACACGGCCCAGACUCCUACGGGAGGCAGCAGUGGGGAAUAUUGCACAAUGGGCGCAAGCCUGAUGCAGCGACGCCGCGUGAGGGAUGGAGGCCUUCGGGGUGUAAACCUCUUUCGCCAGUGAAGCAGGCCUGCUCCUUGUGGGUGGGUUGACGGUAGCUGGAUAAGAAGCGCCGGCUAACUACGUG
Molecule: ribosomal RNA, 488 nt
Filed under: uncultured bacterium
Lineage: Bacteria
Description: partial 16S ribosomal RNA
Rfam family: Bacterial small subunit ribosomal RNA
Source: RNAcentral